CAGAUCGUAGCUAAGAUAGAAAGCAUCUCCCUUACACUGAGAAGUCACCCGUGCAGUCCGGUCGCUCUGA
Molecule: transfer RNA, 70 nt
Filed under: Cyprinodon variegatus (sheepshead minnow)
Lineage: Eukaryota; Metazoa; Chordata; Actinopteri; Cyprinodontiformes; Cyprinodontidae
Description: tRNA-Val
Rfam family: tRNA
About the family: Transfer RNA (tRNA) molecules are approximately 80 nucleotides in length. Their secondary structure includes four short double-helical elements and three loops (D, anti-codon, and T loops).
Source: RNAcentral